RNAcentral lists this long non-coding RNA (382 nucleotides) under Homo sapiens (human). RNAcentral describes it as "non-protein coding lnc-NPHS2-7:4". Lineage: Eukaryota; Metazoa; Chordata; Mammalia; Primates; Hominidae. The record is from RNAcentral.
AAUUGAGUGAAAAAUAGACAACGAAAUCUUGAAGAAUUGCACGGAGGUGCAAGCCAAGUUUAUUUGGCUCUCCAAAUAAUAUUGGUUGAACUAAGAAAUUGGUAAACGAAACCUGUAAUAGGACUGGUGUUUGGGCGUCUCUCUCUGUCACUGUUGUCUCUUGCUGUCACAUUGCUGUCUGUGUUGUCUUUCUAGGUCCAGAUGUUUUCAGAUAAUUCACAUUGCCCUGAUUGUGGACAACAGUGGUUCCCUAGUUUAGAACUAGGCCACUGGUUGUACCAAACUGAACUUGUUGAAAAUGAAUGUUACCAGGUAUUCUUAGACCGUAUUAACAGAGCUGAUUAUUGUCCUGAGUGUUAUCCUGAUAAUCCUGCUAAUAGAA